Molecule: ribosomal RNA, 784 nt
Filed under: Scaptotrigona hellwegeri
Lineage: Eukaryota; Metazoa; Arthropoda; Insecta; Hymenoptera; Apidae
Also listed under: 1 other name
Description: SSU rRNA
Rfam family: Eukaryotic small subunit ribosomal RNA
Source: RNAcentral
CGGGGAGGUAGUGACGAAAAAUAACGAUACGGGACUCAUCCGAGGCCCCGUAAUCGGAAUGAGUACACUUUAAAUCCUUUAACGAGGACCAAUUGGAGGGCAAGUCUGGUGCCAGCAGCCGCGGUAAUUCCAGCUCCAAUAGCGUAUAUUAAAGUUGUUGCGGUUAAAAAGCUCGUAGUUGAAUCUGUGUGUCACAGUGUCGGUUCACCGCUCGCGGUGUUUAACUGGCAUUAUGUGAUACGUCCUAUCGGUGGUCUUAGCUCCUUGCGGGCGGUCCAACUAAUCUCCCAUCGCGGUGCUCUUCACUGAGUGUCGAGGUGGGCCGAUACGUUUACUUUGAACAAAUUAGAGUGCUUAAAGCAGGCUACCUUCGCCUGAAUACUGUGUGCAUGGAAUAAUGGAAUAGGACCUCGGUUCUAUUUUGUUGGUUUUCGGAGCCCCGAGGUAAUGAUUAAUAGGGACAGAUGGGGGCAUUCGUAUUGCGACGUUAGAGGUGAAAUUCUUGGAUCGUCGCAAGACGGACAGAAGCGAAAGCAUUUGCCAAAAAUGUUUUCAUUAAUCAAGAACGAAAGUUAGAGGUUCGAAGGCGAUCAGAUACCGCCCUAGUUCUAACCAUAAACGAUGCCAGCCAGCGAUCCGCCGAAGUUCUUCAGAUGACUCGGCGGGCAGCUUCCGGGAAACCAAAGCUUUUGGGUUCCGGGGGAAGUAUGGUUGCAAAGCUGAAACUUAAAGGAAUUGACGGAAGGGCACCACCAGGAGUGGAGCCUGCGGCUUAAUUUGACUC